RNAcentral lists this long non-coding RNA (5181 nucleotides) under Sus scrofa (pig). Its description in RNAcentral is "lncRNA (ENSSSCG00005026612.1)". The record is from RNAcentral. Lineage: Eukaryota; Metazoa; Chordata; Mammalia; Artiodactyla; Suidae.
AACUUUAUGUAUUUUUUGAUUUCCUCUUUGAUAUUUUCAGUGAUCCAUUGGUUGUUUAGUAUCAUAUCGUUAGCUUCCAUGUGUUUGUGUUUUUACAUUUUUUUUCUUGUAGUUGAUUUCUCAUCUUAUAGCAUUGUGGUCAGAAUAGAUGCUUGAAAUAAUUUCAGUUUUGUUAAAUUUAUUGAGGCUUAUUUUGUGGCCCAGCAUGUGAUCUAUCCUGAGCUAUAUUCCAUGGACACUUGAAAGGAAUGUGUAUUCUGAUGCUUUUGGAUGGAAUGUUAUAUAACUAUCAAUUAAGUACCUCUGGUCUAAUGUGUCAUUUAAGGCCUCUGUUAUUGAUUUUCUCUCUGGAUAUUCUCUGUCCAUUGAUGUAAGUAAGAUUAAAGUCCUCCACUAUUAUUGUGUUACUGUCAAUUUCUCCUUACAUGGCUCUUAGCAUUUGCCUUACAUAUUGAGGUGCUCUUCUAUCGAGUGCAUAUAUAUUUAUAAUUGUUACAUGUCUUUCUUGCAUUGAUCCUUUGAUCAUUAUGCAGUGUCCUUCUUUGUCUCUCAUAAUAGUUCAUAUUUUAAAGUCUAUUUCAUCUGAUAUGAGUAUUACUACUCCAGCUUUCUUUUGAUUCCAUGUGCCUAGAAUAACUUUCUCCAUCCCCUCGAUUUCAAUCUGUAUGUGUCUCUAGAUCUGAAGUGGGUCUCUUAUAGACGAGAUAUAUAUGUAUAUAUGCAUAUUUUAUAUGUGUGUUGGUGUGUGUGUGUGUAUAAUUAUAUUCCUGGUCACUUAAUUUCAAACACAUUUCCAAUAUCCUGAAUUUUUUACUCUUCUUUUCCCAUGAUUGCUUGUUUUCAAAUCAUAUUUGUGUGUGGUUGAUUUCCUACCUUUAUAUAGGCUCGCCUUUACCAGUGUGCUUUCCCAUUCAUAAUUUUCUUUUUUCUAGUUGUGGCCUUUUCUUUUGUGCCUAGUGAAAUUUCCUUUCCAAUUAUCAUAAAGCUGGUUUGGUGGUGCUUAAUUCUCUUAGCUUUUGAUUGUCUGAAAAUCUUUUGAUUUUCCUUUGCAUCUGAAUGAGAGCUUUGCUGGGUAUCAUAUUCUUGGUUGUACAUUUUUUUCCUUUUAGCACUUUAUAAUGCCACUCCCUUCUGGCCUUCAUACAUUCUGAUGAAAAAUCAACUGAUAGCCUUGUGGGAGUCCCUUGUAUAUUAUUUGUUUCCUUUCCCUUGUUUCUUUUAAUAUUUUCUCUUUAUCUUUAUUUGUGUCAAUUUGAUUAAUAUUUGUCUUGGCAUGUCCCUCCUUGUGUUUAUCCUCUGUGGGAUUCUCUGCACUUCCUGGACUUUAGUGACUGUUUUCUUACCCACGUUAGGGAAUUAUUCAGCUAUUAUUUUUUGAAAUAUUUUCUCAGAUGUUUUAUUUCUCUCUCUUCCUUCUGUGAGCCCUAUAAUGUGAACAUUGGUUCUUUCAAUGUUGUUACCCAGGUCUCUUAAACUAUCCUCAUUUCUAUUCUGUUUUUAUUCUGUUCCAUGGCAUUGAUUUCUAGUAUUCCUGUCCAGCUUACUUAUUCAUUCUUUUUCAUUUUUUCUGCUACUGAUUCUUUCUAGUAUUUUUAAUUUCACAUAUUGUGUUAUUCAACUCUUGUUUGUUUACUCUUUUUAUCACCUAACUCUUUGUUAUGCAUUUCUUGUAUCUUCAAGGUCUGUGACUCUAUUCUUUUUCCAAGUCCUUUAAUGGUUUAAUUAUUAUUAUUCUUAAUUAUUUUCAGGUAGAUUGCCUAUCCCUCUUUCACUUUGUUGUUCUUCUGGGGUUUUUAUCUUGUUCCUUUGUCUAGAAUAAAUUCCUCUGCUGUCUCAUUUUGUCUAACUUUCUGUGCUUUCUGUCUCUGUUCCACACGCUGCAGCAUAGUUGUUCCUCCAGUUUCUGGUGUCUACACCCUUCUGGGUGAGGCUGUUUUAGAUGCUUCUGCAGGCUUCCUGGUGAGAGGGACUGAUGCCUUCCCAGUAGUGGGUGGAGCUAAGUCUUGUCCCUCUAGUGGGGAGGGCUGUGUCAAGGUGUGUAUUUAGUAGUGACUGUGGGCUCAGGGAGACUUUGGUUAGCCUGUCUGAUGCUGGGCAGGACUGUGUUUCUGUCCUGUUUAUUAUUUGGCCUGAAGUGUCCCAGCACUGGAGCCUACCAGCUCUUGAGUUGCACCAGGUCUUGGUGUCAAAAUAGCCUCCAAGAGAGUUCAUGGCAAUAAGUACUUGCUUGUUCCUUUUUCACCAAUUUCCUUAUCCCCACAUUGAGCCACAGCCUCACCCUACUUCUCCAGGAGGCCUUCCAAGACCAGAAGGUAGGUCUGGCCCAGGGUCAUGGUGCACACAAGACCUUGUGUCUGCUCUUGAAUAGUAGAUUUUCUCUUUCCUCCAGUCCUGUGGAGUUUUUACAUUCAAGACUCUCUAACAUUCAAACUUAAGUGCUCUGAGGACUCCUCCUACCUAUGCCUGACCCUCAGGAUUUCAAGCUUGAUAUGGAGCUCAAAUUAACACUCCUUUGGGAGAACCUCUGUAAUAUAAUUAUUGUCCAUUUUGUAGGUCAUUCAUCCAGUGGGCAUGGGAUUUGAUUAUAUUGUGAGCAUAUCCCUCCUACCAUUUCACUGUGUCCUCUUCUUUGUUUUUGAAUGAAGAACAUCUUUUGUGGUAGGGUCCUCUUUUUUUUUUUUUUUUUUUUUUGAUUGUUCUUCACCAUGUGGUUGUGAUUUUGGUGUUUUUGUGAAAGGAAGUCAUUUCAAGUCCUUCUACUCUGCCAUAUUGUUUCCCUCCAAUACUUUUAAUUUCAAAAGCAAUAGAUCAGUGGUUUCACUGGGGCCCAGUGAGGAGCUCAGCCUCUACCACUUCAUAAGCAUUAAUGAGGUAGAAUGAGGUAAUGCGAGUCAGGCUAGUUGAUAUUAUGCUUCCCCUCACUUUCUUUUCCGUUGGUGUCAGUGGGACCCAGACCCACAGCAACCUAAGCUUCUAGCUCUACCCAGAAUCUGUGAAUGAGGUCAUGUAAGGUGGUUCGAGUUUUCAUUGCACUUUCUUCCCCUCUCACAUGAUCAGAGAGAUUCAGUAGAAAGCUAAACUUUCACUCCCUCCUUGUAGAACAAAGUGGUGUGAAUCACCAGCAGUCCUCUCCUACUUACACCCCCACUCAGAAGCAAAAAGGUGGUGCAUGGCAGCAGAGCAUCUUUACUUUUCAGGACGGCAUCAACAGGACCUAGUGGAUUUUAGUACUUCAACCUCACCUGUCUUAAGCAAGGCAGUGGGGAGUAAACAUUCUGCUUUUGCUGGAGUGGUAUCAGUGGCACCCAGCAAGAAUAUAAACAUACACACCCACUGAGCGCUUAUACUAUACAUGAAACAGGGGGAUUAUCUGCUAAAAAGAAGAUUAAAUAGAAUCUAGAGUCUCACAAUAUAAUAUUGAAGUUAUCCAGGAUACCAUAACAAAUCAUUCAUCAAAGAGCCAGGAAAUUCCCAAAUGGAUUGAGAAAGGUCAAUCAACAGAUAGCAAUGCUGAGAUGAAUCAUGUUGGAAAUAUCUGAUAAUGGUUUUAAAGGAGCCCUCAUAGAAAAUCUUCAUUAGGAAAUUAUACAUUAUCUUGAAACAAAAGAAAAAUAGAAAAUCUCUGCAAAAAAAAUAGAAAUUAUAAAAAAGACCAAAUAUAAAUUAUAGAUCUGAAAAAUAUAAGAAAAACUACUUGGUGGAAUCAAGAGUAGAAAUGACAGAGGAAGAAAUCAGUGAGCCUGAGGAAGGAUCAUUAGAAUUUAUGCAGCCUGAUCAACACAGGGAAAAUUAGACAAAAAAUAAAUGAAUAGAGUCUCAGAGGCAUGUAGGAAAAUAACAAAACACUUAACAUAUGUCUUUGGAAUCCUAGAACUAGAAUAGGAGAUUAGGGCUCAAAACUCAGUCUAAAGUAAUAAUGUAGUAAAGACAUAGAAACAACAUAAGUGGCCAUUGAUAGAUGAAUUGAUGCAGAAAAUGCUAUAUAUGUAUUUUUAAAAUCAUGCAACAGAAUAUUAUUCAGUCAUAAAAAGAGGUAAAUCCUGUCAUUUGUGGCAACAUGGAUGAACAUUGGAGGCAUUAUACUAAGCAAAUAAGUCAGAGAAAGACAAAUACUAUUUGAUCUCACUUAUAUGCAGAAGCCAAAAAAGUAAAAUUCAAAGAGACAGUAGAUUUGUGAUUACCAGAGAAUGGAGGAAAUAGGGAGAUGUUGCUCAAAGGAUAUUAUCUUUGAGUUAUCAGAUGAAUAAUUUCUGGAGAUCUAAUAUACAGCUUGGUGACUACGGCUAACAGUAUUGUAUUGUACACUUGAAAUUUGCUAUGAGAUUAGAUCUUAAAUGUACUCACCACAUCCAUCUUUAUUGUGGUAAUCACUUCACAAUAUACAUGUAUAUAAAAUCAUCACAAUGUACACAUUAAAUUUACAUGAUAUUACUUGUUAUUUAUACCUAAAUAAAUCUGGGAAAAAAGAAGAAAUAAUGACUGAAAUCUUCUUAAAUUUAUCAAAAGAUAUAAACCUACAGAUUCAAUAAGCUAAAUAAACUUCAAAUAAGAUGAACAGAAAAUUACAAAACAACAUCAAAAUUAAACUUCUGAAAACACUUUACAAAGAAAAAAUCAACAUAGAGAAAAAUGACACUUUACCCAUAAGAGCAAAGCAAUUUCUAAUGACAUACAGUAUCUCAUUGGAAAAUGUAGGCACCAGAACAAAGUGGCACAACACAUUUCAGUUGCAUAAAGCAAAGAACUGCCAACUGCAAAUCCCAUAUCUGGCAAAAACGUCAUUCUGGAAUGAAGGGGAAUUUUCACAUGAAGGAAAAAUAAGAAUUUCUUACUAGCAACCCUACCAUUAAAAUGGCUAAAGGAAAUUCUCAAAACAAAAAGUAAAUGAUAAUAAAAGAAUGCUUUGAAACUCAAAAAAAAGAAAGAUAACAGAAUGGGUAAACACAGAGCUAGAAUAGAAUAUCAUCAUGAGUUUCUUAAUUCACAUUUGAAGAUUGAAGCAAAAGAUAUGACACCAUUUAGUGUGAUGCUCAAAUACAUGGGAAAUAUUCAAGACAAAUAUAUUUGAAAAGUGGUGGGUCUAACAGGAUGUAAGUGGAAGCUAGGUUUUUAUCUUUACUUCAAGUGGUAAAAUGUUGAUAAGAGUGAUUUGUCAAAAAAAAAAAAAAAAAAAAAAAAAAA